Molecule: ribosomal RNA, 288 nt
Filed under: uncultured bacterium
Lineage: Bacteria
Description: partial 16S ribosomal RNA
Rfam family: Bacterial small subunit ribosomal RNA
Source: RNAcentral
GUGGAUUAGAUACCCUGGUAGUCCACGCCGUAAACGAUGAGAACUAGCCGUUGGACCCCUUGAGGGUUUAGUGGCGUAGCUAACGCGAUAAGUUCUCCGCCUGGGGAGUACGGCCGCAAGGCUAAAACUCAAAUGAAUUGACGGGGGCCCGCACAAGCGGUGGAGCAUGUUGUUUAAUUCGAUGCAACGCGAAGAACCUUACCACCCCUUGACAUCCUCGGAACUUGUCAGAGAUGACUUGGUGCCUUCGGGAACCGAGAGACAGGUGCUGCACGGCUGUCGACAACG